This 557-nucleotide non-coding RNA is filed under the name Pan troglodytes (chimpanzee). The record is from RNAcentral. Lineage: Eukaryota; Metazoa; Chordata; Mammalia; Primates; Hominidae.
UCGGCCAUGCGGUUUGUGGUAACUGGUUCCAGCAGCCCUAGGAAUCUAAUACACUGCCCAUGUUAUUUUGAGGAUCAAGUGAAACUUAGAAACAAUAACAACAAAAAAAGCAAAGUCUGUGAUCAAGAAGAAUUACUCUGUUGCAACAAUAUAAACUAAGAAAAAAAUACGCAAAAUUCUCUGCUGCCUUGGGAGAUGACCUCAUGAUGUGUAUCAUUUACUUUUAAUACUUUUAUUUAUUUAUUUUUGAGACGGAGUCUCGCUCUGUCGCCCAGGCUGGAGUGCAGUGGCGUGAUCUCGGCUCACUGCAACCUUCGCCUCCCGGGCUCAAGUGAUUCUCCUGCUUCAGCCUCCUGAGUAGCUGGGAUUAUAGGCACGUGCCGCCAUGCCUGCCUAGUUUUUUAUUUUUAGUAGAGAUGGGGUUUCACCAUGUUGGUCAGGCUGCUCUCAAACUCCUGACCUUGUGAUCUGUCCGCCUCGGCCUCCCAAAGUGCUGGGAUUACUGGUGUGACUGACCGCGCCUGGCCAAUGUGUAUGAUUUAAUAGCCAGCAGCAAC